UAAGGAAUAUUGGUCAAUGGACGUAAGUCUGAACCAGCCAUGCCGCGUGAAGGAUGAAGGUCCUCUGGAUUGUAAACUUCUUUUAUCUGGACGAAAACGGGAUUUUUAUCUCAAUUGACGGUACCAGAGGAAUAAGCACCGGCUAACUCCGUGCCAGCAGCCGCGGUAAUACGGAGGGUGCGAGCGUUAUCCGGAUUUACUGGGUUUAAAGGGUGCGUAGGUGGGCUUAUAAGUCAGUGGUGAAAUCUCCGAGCUUAACUUGGAAACUGCCGUUGAUACUAUAGGUCUUGAAUUAUCUGGAGGUAAGCGGAAUAUGUCAUGUAGCGGUGAAAUGCUUAGAUAUGACAUAGAUCACCAAUUGCGAAGGCAGCUUACUACAUAUAAAUUGACGCUGAGGCACGAAAGCGUGGGGAUCAAACA
RNAcentral lists this ribosomal RNA (420 nucleotides) under uncultured bacterium. Its description in RNAcentral is "bacterial SSU rRNA". It matches the Rfam family "Bacterial small subunit ribosomal RNA", at positions 355 to 774 of the family's 1533-position model. The record is from RNAcentral.